Patiria miniata (bat star) is the source of this 384-nucleotide long non-coding RNA. RefSeq lists it as uncharacterized. The transcript has 3 exons. The record is from RefSeq and is a predicted model, not a curated record. NCBI's taxonomy places the organism in Eukaryota, Metazoa, Echinodermata, Asteroidea, Valvatida, Asterinidae.
UUAGAAUUGGGGUGAUCAACUUUGCCAAAAAUGCUGGUAUGGUGCUGUGUUCGAUCAGAGAGCGGUUUCACCAGCAUUGGGAAGUUGUGGUCCAGCACUGGCCUUCCUCCACUAACAACUCCGGUCGCCAUUGUUUAAACACAGCUUGGGAUUACGGUGAGUGCUGAGCUCAAACGUUCGAGAUGGCCACCUACACAAAAAUGAUGAGGACGAUCGGAAUCAAUCACAUCGUUGAUGGAAUACUCUUGCCUAUUUGUUGGGGCGCCGGUAUCGCCUUUCCCUUCAACAGUCCAGUCGGCGCACCAGUGUGGUGCGGUAUCCUUUUCUUCAUUCCUCCCGGGAUCCUUGGAAUAAUUUUGGCUACUACUGACAACCGCGGAGUGG